GGGUGGAGGUCACAGGGAAAAAUCAAUGUAGGGCUAACAUUGAAGUUAACCCUACAGAAGAAUGUCAAGCCACUAUCUUUGAAAGUCAUAAGGUUGUUGAGGAGGAAAAGAUAGAGAAAGAUGUAGAGGAAAAAGAAACAGAAAAGUUGAGUGAGGGAGAGAAAGAUGAGGAGAAAGAAAAAGAAGUGGUUGAGAAAAAAGAAAAAGAGAAAAAAAGUGCGAAAAUAAAAAAGAAGAAAUUUAAGAGAAAAUAAAAAGAGAAAGUUGAGGGAGGAGGAGAGUAAGAGAAAGAGGAAGAGAGGAAGAAAGAAAAGAUCAUAUGAAAAACCCCUUCCUCAUCAAAAGAAAUAUCAUAGGAAGGAAAAGAAACUUAAGUGCUUUAUAUCUUCAAGAAAUUGGAGAUUAAAGUUCUUAUGAUUGAGACAUGGAAACAGGUGCUUGGUGUUCUCAACUUUUUGAAGAAAUUCAGCAGAAAGAAGAAAAAGAAAAGAAUAU
Molecule: long non-coding RNA, 495 nt
Filed under: Vigna radiata
Lineage: Eukaryota; Viridiplantae; Streptophyta; Magnoliopsida; Fabales; Fabaceae
Description: long non-coding RNA (VRAD_LNC005048)
Source: RNAcentral